This 549-nucleotide ribosomal RNA is filed under the name Bradyrhizobium sp. Cs1B3. RNAcentral describes it as "bacterial SSU rRNA". It matches the Rfam family "Bacterial small subunit ribosomal RNA", at positions 105 to 689 of the family's 1533-position model. Lineage: Bacteria; Pseudomonadati; Pseudomonadota; Alphaproteobacteria; Hyphomicrobiales; Nitrobacteraceae. The record is from RNAcentral.
GGUGAGUUACGCGUGGGAACAUACCUUUUGGUUCGGAACAACACAGGGAAACUUGUGCUAAUACCGGAUAAGCCCUUACGGGGAAAGAUUUAUCGCCGAAAGAUUGGCCCGCGUCUGAUUAGCUAGUUGGUGAGGUAAUGGCUCACCAAGGCGACGAUCAGUAGCUGGUCUGAGAGGAUGAUCAGCCACCUUGGGACUGAGACACGGCCCAAACUCCUACGGGAGGCAGCAGUGGGGAAUAUUGGACAAUGGGCGCAAGCCUGAUCCAGCCAUGCCGCGUGAGUGAUGAAGGCCCUAGGGUUGUAAAGCUCUUUUGUGCGGGAAGAUAAUGACGGUACCGCAAGAAUAAGCCCCGGCUAACUUCGUGCCAGCAGCCGCGGUAAUACGAAGGGGGCUAGCGUUGCUCGGAAUCACUGGGCGUAAAGGGUGCGUAGGCGGGUCUUUAAGUCAGAGGUGAAAUCCUGGAGCUCAACUCCAGAACUGCCUUUGAUACUGAAGAUCUUGAGUUCGGGAGAGGUGAGUGGAACUGCGAGUGUAGAGGUGAAAUUC